GGAAUAUUGGGCAAUGGAUGCAAGUCUGACCCAGCCAUGCCGCGUGCCGGAUGAAGGCCCUCAGGGUUGUAAACGGCUUUUAUUCGGGAAGAAGAGCAGGGAUGCGUCCUUGUGUGACGGUACCGAAUGAAUAAGCACCGGCUAACUCCGUGCCAGCAGCCGCGGUAAUACGGAGGGUGCGAGCGUUGUCCGGAUUUAUUGGGUUUAAAGGGUGCGUAGGUGGCUUUAUAAGUCAGUGGUGAAAUACAGCCGCUCAACGGUUGAGGUGCCAUUGAUACUGUAGAGCUUGAAACAAGUGGAGGUUGCCGGAAUGGAUGGUGUAGCGGUGAAAUGCAUAGAUAUCAUCCAGAACACCGAUUGCGAAGGCAGGUGACUACGUUUGAUUUGACACUGAGGCACGAAAGCAUGGGGAGCAAACAGGAUUAGAUACCCUUG
RNAcentral lists this ribosomal RNA (435 nucleotides) under uncultured Dyadobacter sp. RNAcentral's name for it is "bacterial SSU rRNA". It matches the Rfam family "Bacterial small subunit ribosomal RNA", at positions 358 to 790 of the family's 1533-position model. Lineage: Bacteria; Pseudomonadati; Bacteroidota; Cytophagia; Cytophagales; Spirosomataceae. The record is from RNAcentral.